AGCUUUGCGCAGUGGCAUUAUCGUAACCAAUGAGGUUUAUCCGAGGUGCGAUUAUUGCUGGUAGACGGACAAAUUGAUUUUAAGCAUACCGCUUGGUUAAAGUUCGGCACCCCUCCCACGUGG
Small nuclear RNA from Sitophilus oryzae (rice weevil), 123 nucleotides. RefSeq annotates it as U4 spliceosomal RNA. The record is from RefSeq and is a predicted model, not a curated record. Lineage: Eukaryota; Metazoa; Arthropoda; Insecta; Coleoptera; Curculionidae. The transcript has a single exon.